GACGAACGCUGGCGGCGUGCCUAAUACAUGCAAGUCGAACGAGAGCGACCGGUGCUUGCACUGGUCAAUCUAGUGGCGAACGGGGGAGUAACACGCGGGUAACCUGCCCAUCAGAGGGGGAUAACAUCCGGAAACGGAUGCUAAAACCGCAUAGGUCUUCGAGCCGCAUGGCUUGAAGAGGAAAAGAGGAGCAAGCUUCUGCUGAUGGAUGGACCCGCGGUGCAUUAGCUAGUUGGUGAGGUAACGGCUCACCAAGGCGGUGAUGCAUAGCCGACCUGAGGGGGUGAUCGGCCACAUUGGGACUGAGACACGGCCCAAACUCCUACGGGAGGCAGCAGUAGGGAAUCUUCCGCAAUGGACGCAAGUCUGACGGAGCAACGCCGCGUGAUUGAAGAUGGUUUUCGGAUCGUAAAACUCUGUUGUUAGAGAAGAACAAGUGCUAGAGUAACUGUUAGCGCCUUGACGGUAUCUAACCAGAAAGCCACGGCUAACUACGUG
RNAcentral lists this ribosomal RNA (498 nucleotides) under uncultured bacterium. Its description in RNAcentral is "partial 16S ribosomal RNA". It matches the Rfam family "Bacterial small subunit ribosomal RNA", at positions 28 to 507 of the family's 1533-position model. The record is from RNAcentral.